This 460-nucleotide ribosomal RNA is filed under the name uncultured bacterium. Its description in RNAcentral is "partial 16S ribosomal RNA". It matches the Rfam family "Bacterial small subunit ribosomal RNA", at positions 338 to 795 of the family's 1533-position model. The record is from RNAcentral.
CCUACGGGGGGCAGCAGUGAGGAAUAUUGGUCAAUGGACGAGAGUCUGAACCAGCCAAGUAGCGUGAAGGAUGACUGCCCUAUGGGUUGUAAACUUCUUUUAUAUGGGAAUAAAACGUUCCACGUGUGGGAUUUUGUAUGUCCCAUAUGAAUAAGGAUCGGCUAACUCCGUGCCAGCAGCCGCGGUAAUACGGAGGAUCCGAGCGUUAUCCGGAUUUAUUGGGUUUAAAGGGAGCGUAGGUGGAUUGUUAAGUCAGUUGUGAAAGUUUGCGGCUCAACCGUAAAAUUGCAGUUGAAACUGGCAGUCUUGAGUACAGUAGAGGUGGGCGGAAUUCGUGGUGUAGCGGUGAAAUGCUUAGAUAUCACGAAGAACUCCGAUUGCGAAGGCAGUUCACUGGACUGCAACUGACACUGAGGCUCGAAAGUGUGGGUAUCAAACAGGAUUAGAUACCCUGGUAGUC